GCCCAAUUGGAGCAGUGAGCUGUGCAGAGAAAAAUAGUCUUUAAGAUGAAAAUAGCUAAAAAUAUUUUUGAUUUUAUGAAAACCAAUGCGGGUAGCACACAGGACAGUUCUUGAUCUAGUGCUGCUGUGAGAUUCAGAGAGGAUAAGUGAUUUGGCUAGUUUUUUCCCACUCUUUGCAGAUAAUAAGCUAAUAUUAAUUGAGUGUAUGGAUUAGUUAUUACAUAAGACAAAUACAUUAGCUGGUUAAUCUUCACAGUAAGUGUAUGGGGUAUGAACUAUUUUAAUAUCAUUCCUAGUUUGCAGGUGAGGAAACAGAAGUUUAGCAAUCUGUCUAAGGUCAUAUAGUUUGUAAGAAGUGUCUUUUGCUCCCAAAUCUGUCUCGUAGUAACUCUGAACGACUUAUUCUGUAUUAAUUAUUGUUAAAUAGGAAUGAUAUUACUUGCUUUCUAUAUUUCAUGGGAUCAUUAUGAGAAUCAAAAAAGGCAGUAUCAAUCCCAGUGGCUCCAAAGUCUGAGGCAGGAGGAUCUCGAGUUCAAAGCCAGCCUUAACAACUUAGUGAGGCCCUAAGCAACUCAGGGAGACCCUGUCUCUAAAUAAAAUACAAAAUAGGGCUGGGGCACAAAACUCAAGUGGAUCACAGACCUAGGAAUUAGACCAGAGACCCUGCACCUAAUAGAAGAAAAAGUAGGCCCACAUCUUCAUCUUGUUGGAUUAGGCCCUGACUUCCUUAACAAGAUUCCUAAAGCACAAGAAGUAAAAUUAAGAAUCAAUAAGUGGGAUGGAUUCAAAUUAAAAAGUGUCUCCUUAGCAAAAGAAACAAUGAUGUGAAGAGAGAGCCUACAAAGUGGGAGGAGAUCUUUACCACAUGUACAUUGGAUAGAGCACUUGUCUCCAGGAUGUAUAAAGAACUGAAAAAACUUAACACCAAAAGAACAAACAACCCAAUCAAUAAAUGGGCUAAGGAACUAAAUAGACACUUCUCAGAAGAAUAUAUAUAAUAGAUCAACAAAUAUGUGAAAAAAUGUUCAACGUCUCUAGUAAUUAGAGAAAUGCAAAUCAGAACUACUCUAAUAUUUAAUGUCACUCCAGUCAGAAUGGCAGUUAUCAAGAAUACAAGCAAAAAGAAGUGUUGAUGAAGAUGUAGGGGAAAAGGUACAUACACUGUUGGUACUGCGAACUGGUGCAGCUGCUUUGGAAAGCAGUAUGGAAAUACCUCAGAAAACUUGGAAUGGCACCACCAUUUGACCCAGCCAUCUCACUUCUUGGUCUAUACCCAAAGGUCUUAACAUCAGCAUACUAUAGUGACACAGCCACAUCAAUGUUUAUAGCAGCACAAUUCACAAUAGCUAAACUAUGGAAGCAACCUAGAUGCCCUUCAACUGAUGAAUGGAUAAAGAAACUGUGGUAUAAAUACACAAUGGAAUAUUACUCAGCAUUAAAAGAGAAUGAAAUUAUGGCAUUUGUAGCUAAAUGGAUGGAGUUGGAGAAUAUCAUUUUGAGCAAAGUAAGCCAAUCCCCAAAAACUAAAGGCCAAAGAAUGUUUUCUCUGAUUAGUGGAUGCUAAUCCAUAAUGAGAGGGAUUGUCAU
This 1587-nucleotide long non-coding RNA is filed under the name Marmota monax (woodchuck). Lineage: Eukaryota; Metazoa; Chordata; Mammalia; Rodentia; Sciuridae. The record is from RNAcentral.